Non-coding RNA from Podarcis lilfordi (Lilford's wall lizard), 1625 nucleotides. The record is from the annotation of a GenBank genome assembly. Lineage: Eukaryota; Metazoa; Chordata; Lepidosauria; Squamata; Lacertidae.
CAUAUUCAAGAACAGUAGCCACAAACUCAGUGAGUUCUUAAGUAUAACAUGCUAUGGGGCUUUUAAAACUGAAAAGCAAGAAGCUCAUAAUAACUACAGCAGCAUCAUUUAUCAAAAUGUUUGUAUCCCAGCCUUUCAGCUUCACAAAGGCCCCCCAAGACAGCUAACAAAUAUCAAUUAUAAUAAACGGCACAAUUAUAUUAUAGACCCCUGCAGUGAUGCUGGUGCCUAUUAUGACUGGUAGGGCAGAAUCCAAUAAGGUCACCAGUAGCCAAUCACAGGCAGACCUUCCCCCUGAUUGGUGGUAAGUAAGAAGGCAGACUGAGAUUGGUGGGGCUGUGCCCCUUUGCUUUAAUGAACCCGCCUCCACUGGAAUCCUGGGAACUGUAGUCAGACCCUCAAAGUGUCUCUAUUUUCCAGGGACGUCCCUGAUUUAGAGAAGCCAUACCAGUUUUUUUAUUUGAUCCUGGAAUGUCCCACUUUUCCUUAGGAUGUCCCUAUUUUCAUUGGAGAAACGUUGGAGGGUAUGGAGUUAUCCGACCCCCGAGUUGUCUGAAGGCAAUCCUGCAUAGGGAAGUUUUUUAAUGUUUAAUGUAUUAUUAUGUAUUUGUAUAUGUUGGAAAUUACCCAGAGUGGCUAGGGCAACCCAGUAAGAUGUGUGGGGUAUAAAUAGUAAAAUUUCAAUUAUGGAAUGGGACAUCCCUAUUUUCAUCAGAGAAAUGUUGGAGGGUAUGCUGUUGUAUCAUACAACAAAGACCAGUCUUAUGUUGUUAUAACUGAGAAAAGAAGAUAGGCAGGUUGCAGAAGGAAGGCGAAGGAACCCACAAAAUGAGCUGAAAGGAGGAUUGGGGGCCUGUCCACUGAUGUGCUGAGCUGCCUGCUGAGAGAGAGAGAACAUAGUUUUUAAAAGGGAGCUCUACCCAACUGAGAACAACAUAGACAAGCUAAAUGAUUCCAACUCAAUGCAACUCAGUCCAGUGCCAUCUAGUGACUAAACUACAUAAUGACACUAUCCACGCAAAACCCAUUGGGGCCAUGAGUGGCGCUACACAAGUGUGCGUGGAUGCUCAAUGCAAGAGAGCAUGGAUUUUGAUUGGGCCCACAGGGAGAGAGGGAGAAGCAAAGGAUGAGCAACAAUUUCACUGGUGUGGUCAAACUGAAAAUGGCCUCCGAUUUCAGCAUCAGCAUCAGCUAUGACUGAGAGCCAGGUCUAAAUGCUCUAUGUUUCAUAAUCCUAAUGACUCAUAGCCCAAGGGGGAAGAACGAGCCUAGACAUGUUAAAAUGCAUGAUACGUGUGGUGGGGUAACAUGCAAAUGGUUGGACAGUCUUAAUUUUCAUCUUCACAAUGACUUCACAAUGAACUCUGCUGGUUCCAGGAUUUUUGUAUGAUGGUUCUCAGUUUUUUUCCGUUUUUUUCUUUUUAAAUAUUUUUUAUUAGGAAUUUAAACACAACAUAUUAUCUUAAAACUCAUCCUCAACCCCCUCAUUCCCCCCAUUUCCCCCCCUCCCUCCAUAAAACAACCCCCCUCCCCCCUGACUUCCCUCAGUUCCAAUCUUUGGUUUCUCUAUAAAUGCUAUUCUCUGCAUGUUACAAAAUUGUAUAAAUCCUUAAUUUAUCCGACUG